RNAcentral lists this ribosomal RNA (931 nucleotides) under Chilostomella sp. AtlMed. Its description in RNAcentral is "bacterial SSU rRNA". It matches the Rfam family "Eukaryotic small subunit ribosomal RNA", at positions 1178 to 1760 of the family's 1831-position model. Lineage: Eukaryota; Foraminifera; Rotaliida; Chilostomellidae. The record is from RNAcentral.
GGAGCAUGUGGCUUAAUUUGACUCAACGCGGGAAAUCUUACCGGGUCCGGACACACUGAGGAUUGACAGGCAAUAUUAAUACAUCAGCUCUUUUUUAUUAAAGUCUGUGUAUUAUGUUAAAUAUGCUAGUCCUUUCAUGAUUAUGUGAUAGGUGGUGCAUGGCCGUUCUUAGUUCGUGGAGUGAUCUGUCUGCUUAAUUGCGUUUCACUAAGGGCCUAUAAAUUUACGUGUGUUGCGGCACUUUGACCCCUCUCUGAGCGCGCGUCUUAGUUUGCUUUGCUCGCACAAUUAGGUCCUGAAAGCAACGAACGUGACCGCAACCUCUUGUUGCCUUUAUUCCAAACAUGUUUGCCAUUUUAAAUGGUAUUCAUGAAAAAAGGCUUUUUAAACUAGAGGGACCGCUGUUACUUUCUUAAACCAGAGGAAGGUUGCGGCAAUAACAGGUCUGUGAUGCCCUUAGAUGUUCCGGGCUGCACACGUGCUACAAUGAUUAUUGCAGUGAGCAUCUCAUUUUUACACACCGCAUGCGCGAGUCCAUUUAUUCACCUCUCUGAGGCGCUUUAAAUGUGUACCUCUGCGCGCGGUAAAGCCUGCUUCGAGAGUAAGUGGGUAAUCAAUUAGAAGUAAUGAUUUCCUUUUUAGCACACAUAUAUACGGCGUCUAUGCCCGGGCUGCCUUGUUGUAGCUUUUGUGCGUAUAGAUGUUUUUUCCGUAUGUGCGAUUGUCAAUUCAUGGUGGGGACAGACCAUUGUUAAUUGUUGGUCUCGGUCUUAACUAGGAAUGCCUUGUACGGGUCUUUGGUUCAACAAACCACCCGGAAUACGUCCCUGCCCUUUGUACACACCGCCCGUCGCUCUUACCGAUGGACUUCUCUGUGAGUUUGAGGGACUGGGAACGCAGAUUUUAUCUGCACACCUAUGGAAACUUAAAC